This is a long non-coding RNA of Eubalaena glacialis (North Atlantic right whale), 1556 nucleotides long. RefSeq lists it as uncharacterized. The record is from RefSeq and is a predicted model, not a curated record. Lineage: Eukaryota; Metazoa; Chordata; Mammalia; Artiodactyla; Balaenidae. The transcript is spliced from 10 exons.
UGGAUGGGAGAGUAAAAGCACUGUGAGCGAGUGUAGACGCCGAUUAAACGGUUGGCCCAGUGGGAAGACUGACCUUAUUUCAAUUCUCCUACUGAGAGUGACGACGCAGCCUCAAGCACCAGGGAUGCCGUGAUUGCAUGAGACACGGAGUUCAGCCUCUGCAGUGACCUCUGGAAGAGGAAGCAACUGGACGUUUCCUCUGCACAUUGUCUUGUGCAAAGAUACAAGGGAGAAGUUUCCUUGGUGCUGCUAUGCUGCCAUCAUUUGCUGCCCGCAUUCAUAUCGGAAGCAAAAUCUAUGAUUCAGCGAGAGGGAGGUUUAAGCCUGACAGACUCCACCUCCUGCUACACUGCACUCUACCCCCUGGACAGUGACGCCCCGAGGAAAGGGUCCAUUUCUCUCCAUCUCUGCGCCUACACAGCCCCGCACACACGUGGGCCCGGAUGAUUCCUGGAGGAAGCUACCUCUUUGGCCAUGGGGAUCAGCACUGAGCAGAAAUUCCACCCAUGCCCUCCCAUGUGUGGUCCACACCAGCAGCCACGCUGUCCCCAGGAGCAGGAAUGGGCUAGAAAUGCAGACUCUUGGGCCCCGCCGGCCCUCCAGCAAGGCCCCAGGCCACUGAAUGUGCAGUCAAGUUGAGGACUCCGCUCUGGAAACAAAAGGAGACGCUGGCAGGAGACGGCACGUGGCCGCGUCAGAGAAGAGACGUGCUCCGUGGCUGCGUGUGGGGCAGCCAGAGCGAGCUCAGCCACUGACCGAAUCAUUAGCCACGCGUCCAUGCAGGAGCGCAGCCGGUCAGCAUCCACAGUCUUGACAGGGCGGGCUGGAGACACAGCUCUGCCCCUCCAUGAGGAAACAGCUGGGUUUUCUUAUCUGCUUCUUCAUUCAAUCUGGUGCAUAUGAAAAAAGCCUGGCCACACACAGAUAUGGAUUUGGAAAUUAAGAGGAGGACUGAAUUCAGAUGGCAUGAAGAUUCGCCUGGUUUUGCCACGUUGCCGUUCACCUGCCUCCUUGCACACCUGAGUUCAGGAGCCUCAUCCUUCCACUAGAGGGCGUGGCGUCAUAGAUGCCAACUGUGCCACCUGGGCUGUCCCAGUGUUCUGACCUCAGCCCUUGAGAAGCAGGUCCUGUCCAGCGUUCCCUCACCAACGGACACCAGGGCCGUGCAACACAACCCCCCACUGCAGGCCGUCAGCAAACGGGCUGAAUGAAGGGCAGUCGUUAUCACAGCGAGAGGCCAACUGCCAGCCAUCCCACCCAUCCCUGAGACCCGUCUCUGCAAUGGAAACCCUGCCGGGGAACACAGCAUGCGCCCUGGCGGUGCUGCGGACGAAGGCUGUCCCCUUAGCGGUGAACACGAGGUGCAAAGCCCCUGCCAGCCGUGUGUGGACUUGCAGCGUGGAAUAUACAGCAAAAUGCUGAGCAGGGAGCGGAAACCAUGGACCCACAUCUUUGGAGGCCGACCCCGUGCCGUGCAUCCUCCAUAUGCAGCUCCCGGACCUCCCAGAACUCGGGGAGGGGGGGUUGUUACUGUCCCUCCCUCACAGAUGGGGAAA